UAUUCCCAAAACCUCCCCCUCUCAACCAUACCCUCCCCCACCGACCAAACCACCGGCGCCUCUCUAACCGAGUGACCGCCGCUCCUCUACUAGCUCUCUCUCUCUCUCUCUCUCUCUCUCUCUCUCUCUCUCUCUCUCUCUCUCGGACCCAGUAGCUAAAGGAUUCGCCGCCUAUCCCGCCGCCCACUAGCACCGCGGAUCUCUGACGAGGGAGCGCCAGCCACCCAUCGGAGCACCGCCCAACACCGAUCAGGAACGAAGCUGACCACCAUAUUCUCGUUGUACGGUACAAUCCCAAUAGGUAUGAUGAUUAUGGUGAUGAUAGUGAUAUGGAAGCAAACUUUGAGGAUAUCAUGAAGGAGGAGAGAAGAAGUGCAAAAAUUGCAAGGAGGACGAAGAGCAACUUCUCUUCAUAGGGGAAGAAGAGGAAAGGGAGCAGUUGAGAAAGUUGAAGAAGUGUAAGCAGGGCCAUUAGUGAGACCGUAGGGAAUUUCAUGUUCCUCUUCCUUCCAUAUCAGUAUUUUGUAGUAGUUGGAAUCCUUUUUUUUACGCCAAAUUUGCUAAAUUAUUGUACCGGUUCAUUCUUCAAUUGUAAGGUUGUCGUAUCGCCUAUUUUACGUGUGGUUUUGGCUAGAAAAUCGUGUAGCAACUGUCCAUAGGCAUGUAUUUUGGUGAUGGCAUUCUCUACGGUGCACUAUUUUUUUGAGAAAUUUGGCUCUAGCACACGAAAUGGACAAUUAGUUAUUUUGAUAUGAUGCUAUUUUAUUUAUUUGUUGGCGUCUUUCUCCUUACCUCUGAAGUGUGCAUUGUAAGACAUCUGAUGUAACUUAAAGGGCUAUGUAACUUAAGACAUCCUUGUUACUGUAAAUGAGAAUUCACCAUUUUUGUAUGUAAAAGUUAGUAUUUGUGUUCUUUGUAAAG
Molecule: long non-coding RNA, 921 nt
Organism: Alnus glutinosa
Lineage: Eukaryota; Viridiplantae; Streptophyta; Magnoliopsida; Fagales; Betulaceae
Exons: 3
Source: RefSeq, a predicted model, not a curated record